RNAcentral lists this ribosomal RNA (468 nucleotides) under uncultured bacterium. RNAcentral describes it as "partial 16S ribosomal RNA". It matches the Rfam family "Bacterial small subunit ribosomal RNA", at positions 28 to 507 of the family's 1533-position model. The record is from RNAcentral.
GACGAACGCUGGCGGCGUGCUUAACACAUGCAAGUCGAACGGAAAGGCCCUGCUUUUGUGGGGUGCUCGAGUGGCGAACGGGUGAGUAACACGUGGGUAACCUGCCCUUGACUUUGGGAUAACUUCAGGAAACUGGGGCUAAUACCGGAUAGGAGCUCCUGCUGCAUGGUGGGGGUUGGAAAGUUUCGGCGGUUGGGGAUGGACUCGCGGCUUAUCAGCUUGUUGGUGGGGUAGUGGCUUACCAAGGCUUUGACGGGUAGCCGGCCUGAGAGGGUGACCGGCCACAUUGGGACUGAGAUACGGACCAGACUCCUACGGGAGGCAGCAGUGGGGAAUAUUGCACAAUGGGCGGAAGCCUGAUGCAGCAACGCCGCGUGCGGGAUGACGGCCUUCGGGUUGUAAACCGCUUUCGCCUGUGACGAAGCGUGAGUGACGGUAAUGGGUAAAGAAGCACCGGCUAACUACGUG